CGGCGGGCCGGCCCGGGGGAGGGGGCGGGACCCCUUUUGUUCUCUCCGCACCUCCGGGUUCGCGCGACUGUGAGCGCCCCCGCCCCGGAGCAGGGGUCCGCGCUGGGGGUCCGGAGGGCGGGGGCGCGGCCCGACGCCCCACCCCCAGCUUGUUCACUGCCGCCAGGGCCCAGCGCCUGAAGCGCGGGUCCUUCGCUGGGACGAGCGCUUUCAUCUCCGUCCCUCAGUUUCCCUCCCCUUGUCUUCUCCCUGUGUCCUGGGAGUUAUGGGGAAGCUCAGCCCUUGGCAAAUGAGCUUGGGACCUUCCUAAAACCUAAGCCAAUGAUAGGCCCGAUCUUGCCUGAGAGGGGCACGUGAGAGACCCCCAAGCUGGAGAGGCAGAUGUCCUGGUAACUCUAACCUGAGACCGUUUUCAGGACAACACCUGAGAGCAUCUCCCAGCGUGGCUGUGGCCACACACAUCCCUGGGAGUAGGACGGGCCACCGCGCUGAAGCUGUGGAUGCAGGGCUCCCAAUCUGUAGGCGAGGGGCCUCUCCCCUGCAGGGGACAGGAUCAGGACCCUGGGAGCCCUCAGUCCCCCUCCCAGCACUGAUUACCUGGAAAACCCCCCGAGCCCAGGUUGAUGAAGAAGGUGGGACCCUGACAGUGAGUGGCCUGAGCCUGGGAUGGUAGCUUGACCUCAUCUCCAAGGUCAUCCUCCCAGACCUGGGAGUCUAAAAACAUUAAAUCCUUCAGAAGGACAUAUUUGCAUCAGAUCACUGUUCAGAACGCCACUGGUGCCAUUCACGGAGCAGUCCCUGGGCUGAAGUGGCUGCUCUGGUCUGGUGAGCGGGGGCACCCACGCGAGCUCCCAGGCCCAGAGGCCUCCCCCAGAUCCUGGUGUUAGUGGCCCAUGGAAGGACUCCCAGCCCCAGAGGCUUGGCAGGUGUCUGCGGCUCCCCAGGGGUGGGGUGCUGGGAGGCUGACAUCUGUGGAGUGUUUUUACUGUUGAACAAAUUGAAUCAAUUAAACAGGCCCCAUCGGGGUGGCUGGGAGCGGUGAACAGGAGGAAAG
Molecule: long non-coding RNA, 1054 nt
Filed under: Homo sapiens (human)
Lineage: Eukaryota; Metazoa; Chordata; Mammalia; Primates; Hominidae
Description: HSALNT0392167
Source: RNAcentral